Molecule: long non-coding RNA, 230 nt
Organism: Mugil cephalus (flathead mullet)
Lineage: Eukaryota; Metazoa; Chordata; Actinopteri; Mugiliformes; Mugilidae
Exons: 4
Source: RefSeq, a predicted model, not a curated record
AGGAAAACAAUCACCACAGAGUUGGAUGGCUGUAACAUUGUCCAGGUCUGAGAGCUCUUCAUUUCUUCUUCCAUUGAUCGUUGGACUGGUUUGUGGAAUUUCACUGAUUAUUCUUCUGCUGCUGUUGUGUCUCUACAAACAGUCAAAGGAUUCCUGCUUUAUCAGGUCUCAGAGCACAAAUCAGAGCUCUGCUACAGAUCACAUGAUCAACCAGGAUGAAGGUCAACAAG